ACGCUGGGCAUGGCCUCUCAGGACAGCACUUAAGGCCCUGAUUUCCUGACUUGACUCCCACUCAGCCGGACACAGAGCUUGGGUUUAAGGAACGCCUUCACGAAGCCCACCCCUUCCUUUCCUGAUAACCAAGAGGAGCUAAGUCGUGUGGCUGGUGGUUUUGAUGGAGAGCAUUCUAGCAAACACUUUGGGAAGCACCGAGAUGGUGAGCACGUACGUUCCUGGGCACGGUGGCUAGGGUGGGUCUCUGUCAUCCCGUUCUGUAGACAUUUAUUAGGCAGCAGCAUAUCCUGGGCACAGGAGACGCACUAAUGACAUACCCAGUCCUUAACCUCUAGGCAGCUGCAGGCUGGUGCAGAGACGUGGCAAACGAGACGGACAGCUCCCAUUACUUGGGAUCUCCUCUAGGUCAGGGGCUGUGGCAGCGUGGUUCCAAUCCUACUCUGCCAGCCUGCGAGGUAGGUUUUGUGAGCUUCUUUCCACUGAUGAGGC
This 492-nucleotide long non-coding RNA is filed under the name Capra hircus (goat). Its description in RNAcentral is "lncRNA (ENSCHIG00000004446.1)". The record is from RNAcentral. Lineage: Eukaryota; Metazoa; Chordata; Mammalia; Artiodactyla; Bovidae.